GAUGAACGCUAGCGGCAGGCCUAACACAUGCAAGUCGAGGGAGAAGCCCUUUCGGGGGCAGAAACCGGCGCACGGGUGCGUAACGCGUAUGCAACCUACCUUUCACAGGGGGAUAGCCCGAAGAAAUUUGGAUUAAUACCCCAUAAUAUUAUUGGAUGGCAUCAUUUGAUAAUUAAAACUGCGGUGGUGAAAGAUGGGCAUGCGUCCUAUUAGCUAGUUGGAGUGGUAACGGCACCCCAAGGCUACGAUAGGUAGGGGUCCUGAGAGGGAGAUCCCCCACACUGGUACUGAGACAGGGACCAGACUCCUACGGGAGGCAGCAGUGAGGAAUAUUGGUCAAUGGUCGGAAGACUGAACCAGCCAUGCCGCGUGCAGGAAGAAUGCCUUAUGGGUUGUAAACUGCUUUUAUUUGGGAAGAAUAAGGCGUACGUGUACGUUGAUGACGGUACCAUAUGAAUAAGCAUCGGCUAACUCCGUG
Molecule: ribosomal RNA, 478 nt
Filed under: uncultured bacterium
Lineage: Bacteria
Description: partial 16S ribosomal RNA
Rfam family: Bacterial small subunit ribosomal RNA
Source: RNAcentral